UGUUGUCGAGCGACGAGAGUACGCCGUGCGUGUGUCAGUACAGGCCGCUUUAAGGCGAAACCGCGAAUGGCUCAUUAAAUCAGUUAUGAUUCAUUUGAUUGAAUCCUAUUACUCGGAUAACCCUGGUAAUUCUAGAGCUAAUACGUGAUCUGAGAAACUCCGACUUUACGGGAGGAGUGCUUUUAUUAGUUGAAAACCAAUCGGGCCUCGGUCCGUCAAAGCCAAUCUGUGACGACUCUGAAUAACUUUGUGCCGAGAGCACGGUCUCCGGACCGGCUCCGUAUCUUUCGAGUUUCUGCCUUAUCAUGCUGUGGAUUGUAGGCCAUGCGCCUACAGUGGCUGUUACGGGUGACGGAGAAUCAGGGUUCGAUUCCGGAGAGGGAGCCUGAGAAACGGCUACCACAUCCAAGGAAGGCAGCAGGCACGCAAAUUACCCAAUCCCAGCUCGGGGAGGUAGUGACGAAAAAUAACAAUGCGGGACUCUUCCGAGUCUGCGUAAUUGGAAUGAGCACACUUUAAAUCCUUUAGCAACAACCGAUUGGAGGGCAAGUCUGGUGCCAGCAGCCGCGGUAAUUCCAGCUCCAUAGCGUAUAUUAAAGUUGUUGCGGUUAAAAAGUUCGUAGUUCGAGCUGAGUUCCGGACUGGCCCGGGGAGA
This 655-nucleotide ribosomal RNA is filed under the name Nematopalaemon tenuipes. Its description in RNAcentral is "bacterial SSU rRNA". It matches the Rfam family "Eukaryotic small subunit ribosomal RNA", at positions 29 to 665 of the family's 1831-position model. The record is from RNAcentral. Lineage: Eukaryota; Metazoa; Arthropoda; Malacostraca; Decapoda; Palaemonidae.